UGCCAGCAGCUCACUGGCACAGCAGUUCCGACUGUGAGCCGCUGGGAGCGGCUUGCCGGAGAUAAAGAAUUAAGUUAUAACUGCCUCUAGAUCUUUCCAGGAAUAUUUCUGUUUUUCUGUUCGGAUGUACUCCAUGUGGCGUAGAUCAUCCCAAACAUGAAAAAAAAUGAAAGCAGCCCACCUUCUAAAUGAUCCAAAGUGUGCCAACGAGGAUGUAGAACCCUCGCCUCAUAUUAUUUGACCAGCAAAUCUUCCAAACGCACGAUGGUGUCUCAAUGAGAACUAAGAGUUGAAGAUCCGAGUCAUGAGACUGUAUGACAGUAAAUAAAUGAAAAAGGGAAACACAAAGAUAAAAAACCAAAACAACAAAAAUAAUGCUCUUAUUCACAAACACAAUAUACCGGUGAGCAAAUUUAAAAAGUCAAUACGUAUCUCUAUGGCCUCACUAUAAUAGAUAUAUCUAUAUUUAUAAACAUAAUAAACAUAUCUUAGUAUUGAAAUAUACAUAUAUCAACUUCUCAAAAUGAUUAAUCCACAUUAGAGCGGCAACACAAUGUUAAAAUUUCAGUCUGCAGCUAAAAGGAUAUGCAUCACCAUCAUCACAAAAUGAAAACAAAAGACUUGUUCAACAAGUUCCGCAAUCCGACCUGGCACUGAACCCAAGACCGUGUAAAACAGAAAUAAAAGAAAAACUUAUAUCUAGUGCCAUUCCAUUUCACUGGAAAUCUUGUAAAAAAUACACAAUAGCCUAUACACAUAGCAACUCCCACUUACCCGCAAACUACGUGACAUACCAUCUACCAACACAUACAAGCACACACUAUCACACACUUGUCUACGGAGAGGUAAACUACGUGACAUACCAUCUACCAACACAUACAAGCACACACUAUCACACACUUGUCUACGGAGAGGUGCAGAGUCUAAAUACUAAAUAACACACUAGACAAACAUGACAUUUUGCUGGUGUUGAACCAGUACAACAUCAAAAUAAAAACACACACAUUUGGCUAACAAUACACACGUUUAGCUAACAACUGAUUCUCCAUGAGCCACUAACAGCCCAGCUUGAUCACUUGCAGGCCUACCCAGACCCAAUCACUGAGGCUUGAAGAAAACGAAAAAAAAAAAAAA
Aplysia californica (California sea hare) is the source of this 1134-nucleotide long non-coding RNA. RefSeq lists it as uncharacterized. The record is from RefSeq and is a predicted model, not a curated record. NCBI's taxonomy places the organism in Eukaryota, Metazoa, Mollusca, Gastropoda, Aplysiida, Aplysiidae. The transcript has 2 exons.